UGAAUGUUUCGACUGGUAGCAUUAUUCCAUCCUGAAUUAUUAUGUCAAUGAUAAUGUGGUAGUUCAGAAGGCUGAGGUAAUAUUUUAUUUAAGGAAUGGAUUGAGAAUCUAAUCAUGUGUCCCUAAACGAAGCUAAGUAAAGAGACUACGGUAGAAGGUGUAGCAUUGUAAGGUCAAGAACCUGUUUCUCAACAGGUCGGACGAAUUAAAUAACCCGCUCAGUGAAGCGCCGACACUACUCACUAAUAUAAUAGGUGAAGUUGAUACAUCUAUUAUAGUUUUAGAACCGUGUCUGCAACAAGAGGCUGACUGAGUUGACCACACGAGGGGGCCCUUUACCAGAGAGGCAAAGGGAGGUAGUGUAUUCGGAACUAGGGACGGCUUGUUAUAGCCAAUUGCCCUGUACACAAAACCUUGAAAUCCAAACCCGAGCGGCAGAUGUGUGUAAUUUAGUCAGCAGACAUCUCAGCUGAGUCACAAGACGAAGCUCUCGAUUUACCGAUCGAUCUACGUUCCCACCCUCACUUAUGGUCACGAGCUUUGAGUAAUGACAGAGAGGAUGAGAUCGCGGAUACAAGCGGCUGAGAUGAGUUUCCUCCGCAGGGUGGCUGGGCGCAGCCUUACUGUACGUACAGACCAAACGCGACUUCCGCGAGCGACACGACUGAUUUGCAUAGAAAGUCAAUGGGGUUGGGCGACUGACGGCGACCAGCGGCGACCAACAUGGCAGCGACACGACUGGGGUGUGCAACGCUACAAGAUUUGAGCUACAUACGGCGACUCCGGCUACUCAAGACGACACAACUGGGGUACAGCGACAGUCGCAGAAGUUCACCACCUGCGGAGCGUUGACCAAUCAGAGACCAGAUCCGCGAGUGACGUGUCCCGGCGGAGGAGAAGCAAAUCGCUGCGGUUGUUUACAAGCAGACUUUCCGCCGUCCUGAGAGUGGCUCAAAUCGUGCAUUUUUUAAUUUCCACCGGAACAUAAAUAGGAAGAAUCUUGUCCGGAGGGAAAGUUCGCCACAACGGUGGCGUUCCUGCCCUUCAUCUCCAAGAGAGACCUCGGCCAACAUGACUGGAGAUGCAGCAGCAGCUGCAGCAGCAAGGUAGCAGGAGAGGAGGAGGAUGGAUCCACUCAUGAUGUUGGUGAUGAUGAUGAGGAGGAGGAUGGACGUCCCUCUGCCUCACCUGGUGCUGCUGCGUCUCCUCCACCUGCCACUGGCCCUUGUCAUCCACUGCUGCUCCCCAUGACAGCGAUGGAAGAGACCAACAGAGGAAGGGGUCCCCCGAUGCUGAAGCUGAGCUCAAACAUCUACUAAUGUACUCCCUCCACACACCCAGCUCAGAAGAAGGGACAGUUUUCAAGGUCCUCGUUCCUUCCAGGUUCCACAUAAAUUUAAAAUGUACAUGUUACUUUACCAAGCAAAACAACAGCUGACUGAAACCAUUUGGACCCUUCAUUUAUUUUCUUUGUAGCCACAGUUUCAUUAAAGAACCGGAUGCCGCCCCACUUCCUCCGCCUCUCUUGACCCUCGUCCCUCUGAGGAAGAUCCUUCAAAACACACCUACGUAGUUCACUUCAAGUUUGACUGUGAUUCUGUGUGUAUUGAAUGAGUAUAAAUGAAUGGGGUUACUUUAUUUUUGCAAAUAAAGUGUUUGACAAUGAACAUUUCUUUUUGUGAAAAAUGGAUUCACAGAAAAAAAUAAAAUCAAAAGCACUUUGCAAAAUAUCAACAAAUUGAGUUGAACACAGCUUUGUUUUAUUGCAGAGAUGAAAUAUAUAUGCAAGAACCUAGGCUUUG
Molecule: long non-coding RNA, 1802 nt
Organism: Synchiropus splendidus (mandarinfish)
Lineage: Eukaryota; Metazoa; Chordata; Actinopteri; Syngnathiformes; Callionymidae
Exons: 4
Source: RefSeq, a predicted model, not a curated record